This 4511-nucleotide long non-coding RNA is filed under the name Haliotis rufescens (red abalone). Its description in RNAcentral is "uncharacterized LOC124140127". The record is from RNAcentral. Lineage: Eukaryota; Metazoa; Mollusca; Gastropoda; Lepetellida; Haliotidae.
ACACUGUAGAGUACUGGGGCUCCAUACCAACCAUCACAGAUGUCGAGGUAGGUAACACUGUAGAGUACUGGGGCUCCAUACCAACCCACACAGAUGCCGAGGUAGGUAACACUGUAGAGUACUGGGGCUCCAUACCAACCAUCACAGAUGCCGAGGUAGGUAACACUGUAGAGUACUGGGGCUCCAUACCAACCAUCACAGAUGCCGAGGUAGGUAACACUGUAGAGUACUGGGGCUCCAUACCAACCAUCACAGAUGCCGAGGUAGGUAACACUGUAGAGUACUGGGGCUCCAUACCAACCAUCACAGAUGCCGAGGUAGGUAACACUGUAGGAGAUAUGGGGCUACAUACCAACCAUCACAGAUGCCGAGGUAGGUAACACUGUAGAGUACUGGGGCUCCAUACCAACCAUCACAGAUGCCGAGGUAGGUAACACUGUAGAGUACUGGGGCUCCAUACCAACCAUCACAGAUGCCGAGGUAGGUAACACUGUAGAGUACUGGGGCUCCAUACCAACCAUCACAGAUGCCGAAGUAGGUAACACUGUAGGAGAUAUGGGGCUACAUACCAACCAUCACAGAUGCCGAGGUAGGUAACACUGUAGAGUACUGGGGCUCCAUACCAACCAUCACAGAUGUCGAGGUAGGUAACACUGUAGGAGAUAUGGGGCUACAUACCAACCAUCACAGAUGCCGAGGUAGGUAACACUGUAGAGUACUGGGGCUCCAUACCAACCAUCACAGAUGUCGAGGUAGGUAACACUGUAGAGUACUGGGGCUCCAUACCAACCCACACAGAUGCCGAGGUAGGUAACACUGUAGAGUACUGGGGCUCCAUACCAACCAUCACAGAUGCCGAGGUAGGUAACACUGUAGAGUACUGGGGCUCCAUACCAACCAUCACAGAUGCCGAGGUAGGUAACACUGUAGAGUACUGGGGCUCCAUACCAACCAUCACAGAUGCCGAGGUAGGUAACACUGUAGAGUACUGGGGCUCCAUACCAACCAUCACAGAUGCCGAGGUAGGUAACACUGUAGGAGAUAUGGGGCUACAUACCAACCAUCACAGAUGCCGAGGUAGGUAACACUGUAGAGUACUGGGGCUCCAUACCAACCAUCACAGAUGCCGAGGUAGGUAACACUGUAGAGUACUGGGGCUCCAUACCAACCAUCACAGAUGCCGAGGUAGGUAACACUGUAGAGUACUGGGGCUCCAUACCAACCAUCACAGAUGCCGAAGUAGGUAACACUGUAGGAGAUAUGGGGCUACAUACCAACCAUCACAGAUGCCGAGGUAGGUAACACUGUAGAGUACUGGGGCUCCAUACCAACCAUCACAGAUGUCGAGGUAGGUAACACUGUAGGAGAUAUGGGGCUACAUACCAACCAUCACAGAUGCCGAGGUAGGUAACACUGUAGAGUACUGGGGCUCCAUACCAACCAUCACAGAUGCCGAGGUAGGUAACACUGUAGAGUACUGGGGCUCCAUACCAACCAUCACAGAUGCCGAGGUAGGUAACACUGUAGAGUACUGGGGCUCCAUACCAACCAUCACAGAUGCCGAGGUAGGUAACACUGUAGAGUACUGGGGCUCCAUACCAACCAUCACAGAUGCCGAGGUAGGUAACACUGUAGGAGAUAUGGGGCUACAUACCAACCAUCACAGAUGCCGAGGUAGGUAACACUGUAGAGUACUGGGGCUCCAUACCAACCAUCACAGAUGUCGAGGUAGGUAACACUGUAGGAGAUAUGGGGCUACAUACCAACCAUCACAGAUGCCGAGGUUGGUAACACUGUAGAGUACUGGGGCUCCAUACCAACCAUCACAGAUGCCGAGGUAGGUAACACUGUAGAGUACUGGGGCUCCAUACCAACCAUCACAGAUGUCGAGGUAGGUAACACUGUAGGAGAUAUGGGGCUACAUACCAACCAUCACAGAUGUCGAGGUAGGUAACACUGUAGAGUAUUGGGGCUCCAUACCAACCAUCACAGAUGCCGAGGUAGGUAACACUGUAGGAGAUAUGGGGCUCAAUACCAACCAUCACAGAUGCCGAGGUAGGUAACACUGUAGGAGAUAUGGGGCUACAUACCAACCAUCACAGAUGCCGAGGUGGGUAACACUGUAGAGUACUGGGGCUCCAUACCAACCAUCACAGAUGCCGAGGUGGGUAACACUGAAGGAGAUAUUGGACUACAAACCAACCAUCACAGAUGCCGAGGUUGGUAACACUGUAGAGUACUGGGGCUCCAUACCAACCAUCACAGAUGCCGAGGUAGGUAACACUGUAGGAGAUAUGGGGCUACAUACCAACCAUCACAGAUGCCGAGGUAGGUAACACUGUAGAGUACUGGGGCUCCAUACCAACCAUCACAGAUGCCGAGGUAGGUAACACUGUAGAGUACUGGGGCUCCAUACCAACCAUCACAGAUGCCGAGGUAGGUAACACUGUAGGAGAUAUGGGGCUACAUACCAACCAUCACAGAUGCCGAGGUAGGUAACACUGUAGAGUACUGGGGCUCCAUACCAACCAUCACAGAUGUCGAGGUAGGUAACACUGUAGGAGAUAUGGGGCUACAUACCAACCAUCACAGAUGCCGAGGUUGGUAACACUGUAGAGUACUGGGGCUCCAUACCAACCAUCACAGAUGCCGAGGUAGGUAACACUGUAGAGUACUGGGGCUCCAUACCAACCAUCACAGAUGCCGAGGUAGGUAACACUGUAGGAGAUAUGGGGCUACAUACCAACCAUCACAGAUGCCGAGGUAGGUAACACUGUAGAGUACUGGGGCUCCAUACCAACCAUCACAGAUGUCGAGGUAGGUAACACUGUAGGAGAUAUGGGGCUACAUACCAACCAUCACAGAUGCCGAGGUUGGUAACACUGUAGAGUACUGGGGCUCCAUACCAACCAUCACAGAUGCCGAGGUAGGUAACACUGUAGAGUACUGGGGCUCCAUACCAACCAUCACAGAUGCCGAGGUAGGUAACACUGUAGGAGAUAUGGGGCUACAUACCAACCAUCACAGAUGCCGAGGUAGGUAACACUGUAGAGUACUGGGGCUCCAUACCAACCAUCACAGAUGUCGAGGUAGGUAACACUGUAGGAGAUAUGGGGCUACAUACCAACCAUCACAGAUGCCGAGGUUGGUAACACUGUAGAGUACUGGGGCUCCAUACCAACCAUCACAGAUGCCGAGGUAGGUAACACUGUAGAGUACUGGGGCUCCAUACCAACCAUCACAGAUGUCGAGGUAGGUAACACUGUAGGAGAUAUGGGGCUACAUACCAACCAUCACAGAUGUCGAGGUAGGUAACACUGUAGAGUAUUGGGGCUCCAUACCAACCAUCACAGAUGCCGAGGUAGGUAACACUGUAGGAGAUAUGGGGCUCAAUACCAACCAUCACAGAUGCCGAGGUAGGUAACACUGUAGAAGAUAUGGGGCUACAUACCAACCAUCACAGAUGCCGAGGUGGGUAACACUGUAGAGUACUGGGGCUCCAUACCAACCAUCACAGAUGCCGAGGUUGGUAACACUGUAGAGUACUGGGGCUCCAUACCAACCAUCACAGAUGCCGAGGUAGGUAACACUGUAGGAGAUAUGGGGCUACAUACCAACCAUCACAGAUGCCGAGGUAGGUAACACUGUAGAGUACUGGGGCUCCAUACCAACCAUCACAGAUGCCGAGGUAGGUAACACUGUAGAGUACUGGGGCUCCAUACCAACCAUCACAGAUGCCGAGGUAGGUAACACUGUAGGAGAUAUGGGGCUACAUACCAACCAUCACAGAUGCCGAGGUAGGUAACACUGUAGAGUACUGGGGCUCCAUACCAACCAUCACAGAUGUCGAGGUAGGUAACACUGUAGGAGAUAUGGGGCUACAUACCAACCAUCACAGAUGCCGAGGUUGGUAACACUGUAGAGUACUGGGGCUCCAUACCAACCAUCACAGAUGCCGAGGUAGGUAACACUGUAGAGUACUGGGGCUCCAUACCAACCAUCACAGAUGUCGAGGUAGGUAACACUGUAGGAGAUAUGGGGCUACAUACCAACCAUCACAGAUGUCGAGGUAGGUAACACUGUAGAGUAUUGGGGCUCCAUACCAACCAUCACAGAUGCCGAGGUAGGUAACACUGUAGGAGAUAUGGGGCUCAAUACCAACCAUCACAGAUGCCGAGGUAGGUAACACUGUAGGAGAUAUGGGGCUACAUACCAACCAUCACGGAUGCUGAGGAGGGUAACACUGUAGGAGAUAUGGGGCUACAUACCAAUCAUCACAGAUGCCGUGAUGGGUAACACUGAAGGAGAAAUAGGGCUACAUACCAAUCAUCACAGAUGCCGUGAUGGGUAACACUGUAGGAGAUAUGGGGCUACAUACCAACCAUCACGGAUGCCGAAGUAGGUAACACUGUAGGAGAUAUGGGGCUACAUACCAACCAUCACAGAUGCCGAAGUAGGUAACACUGUAGGAGAUAUGGGGCUACAUACCAACCAUCACAGAUGCCGAGGUG